CUGGGGCUGUGGAAUUGGGCUAGGUGAACCCUUCUGAUCAAAGUUCAGAGGGAAGGGGUCACUAACAGGGUGAGGCGUAGGGGUUGGAGAGGCGGCCAAGGCUGAGAACCCGAGAGCCUUGGAUCGCGAAGGAACGCACAAUGACUUAGCAACGAAUCCAACGUGGGAGUCAGGAAGUGGAAGCUCACCACCCGUGUUCUAGGAACACAUUUUAGGAAGAGCUUCAGACAUAGAUCCCCAGUCCGUCGCUGUCCCUGCCUCUGCCUCUCUGGAUGGCCAGAAGGAGCCCGUUGUCAGGUACCAACACCAGAAACAGAGGCUGCCAUCUUCAAGAUCACUGCUGCCCUGGAGCAGGGAGUGGGUCUAGUGUAAAUUAAUACACAAAGAUCUCCUACUGCAUUUCAGUGUCCUUCCUCAUGGUUAGUUACUCACUUGCAUGCUAUAAAGCUUUAACUAUCUCCCAGA
Choloepus didactylus (southern two-toed sloth) is the source of this 465-nucleotide long non-coding RNA. RefSeq lists it as uncharacterized. NCBI's taxonomy places the organism in Eukaryota, Metazoa, Chordata, Mammalia, Pilosa, Megalonychidae. The record is from RefSeq and is a predicted model, not a curated record. The transcript has 3 exons.